Molecule: ribosomal RNA, 393 nt
Filed under: uncultured bacterium
Lineage: Bacteria
Description: partial 16S ribosomal RNA
Rfam family: Bacterial small subunit ribosomal RNA
Source: RNAcentral
AUACGGAGGAUCCGAGCGUUAUCCGGAUUUAUUGGGUUUAAAGGGUGCGCAGGCGGGAGAUUAAGUCGGCGGUGAAAUUUUUGAGCUCAAAUGUAAAAGUGCCCUCGAAAAUGGGUUCCUUUGGUGGAGAUGAAGGAGGGGGAAUUUGGGGUGUAGCGGGGAAAUGCAUAGAUAUCACGAGGAACUCCGAUUGCGCAGGCAGCUUACUAAACUACUACUGACGCUCAGGCACGAAGGCGUGGGGAUCAAACAGGAUUAGAUACCCUGGUAGUCCACGCAGUAAACGAUGAUUACUAGCUGUUUGCGAUACAAUGUAAGCGGCUGAGCGAAAGCGUUAAGUAAUCCACCUGGGGAGUACGUUCGCAAGAAUGAAACUUAAAGGAAUUGGCGGGG